Molecule: ribosomal RNA, 160 nt
Filed under: Epicoccum nigrum
Lineage: Eukaryota; Fungi; Ascomycota; Dothideomycetes; Pleosporales; Didymellaceae
Description: 5.8S ribosomal RNA
Rfam family: 5.8S ribosomal RNA (bases 1-132)
About the family: 5.8S ribosomal RNA (5.8S rRNA) is a component of the large subunit of the eukaryotic ribosome.
Source: RNAcentral
GGUUCUGGCAUCGAUGAAGAACGCAGCGAAAUGCGAUAAGUAGUGUGAAUUGCAGAAUUCAGUGAAUCAUCGAAUCUUUGAACGCACAUUGCGCCCCUUGGUAUUCCAUGGGGCAUGCCUGUUCGAGCGUCAUUUGUACCUUCAAGCUCUGCUUGGUGUU